This 436-nucleotide ribosomal RNA is filed under the name uncultured archaeon. RNAcentral's name for it is "bacterial SSU rRNA". It matches the Rfam family "Archaeal small subunit ribosomal RNA", at positions 19 to 458 of the family's 1478-position model. The record is from RNAcentral.
GGACCUGACUGCUAUCGGAUUCGCACACUAAGCCAUGCGAGUCAUUGUAGCAAUACAAGGCAUACGGCUCAGUAACGCGUAGUCAACCUAACCUAUGGACGGGAAUAACCUCGGGAAACUGAGAAUAAUGCCCGAUAGAACAUUAUGCCUGGAAUGGUUUAUGUUCCAAAUGAUUUAUCGCCGUAGGAUGGGACUGCGGCCUAUCAGUUUGUUGGUGAGGUAAUGGCCCACCAAGACUAUUACAGGUACGGGCUCUGAGAGGAGUAGCCCGGAGAUGGGUACUGAGACACGGACCCAGGCCCUAUGGGGCGCAGCAGGCGAGAAAACUUUGCAAUGUGCGAAAGCACGACAAGGUUAAUCCGAGUGGUUUCUGCUAAAGAAACCUUUUGUCAGUCCUAGAAACACUGAUGAAUAAGGGGUGGGCAAGUUCUGGUGU